This 256-nucleotide ribosomal RNA is filed under the name uncultured Oscillospiraceae bacterium. RNAcentral's name for it is "partial 16S ribosomal RNA". It matches the Rfam family "Bacterial small subunit ribosomal RNA", at positions 83 to 339 of the family's 1533-position model. Lineage: Bacteria; Bacillati; Bacillota; Clostridia; Eubacteriales; Oscillospiraceae. The record is from RNAcentral.
UGAUAUGACUGAGUGGCGGACGGGUGAGUAACGCGUGAGCAACCUGCCCUGCAAAGGGGGACAACAGUUGGAAACGACUGCUAAUACCGCAUGAGACCACGAUCUCGCAUGGGAUUGAUGUCAAAGAUUUAUCGCUGAAAGAUGGCCUCGCGUCUGAUUAGCUAGUUGGUGAGGUAACGGCCCACCAAGGCGACGAUCAGUAGCCGGACUGAGAGGUUGACCGACCACAUUGGGACUGAGAUACGGCCCAGACUCC